This 610-nucleotide unclassified non-coding RNA is filed under the name Hevea brasiliensis (rubber tree). Lineage: Eukaryota; Viridiplantae; Streptophyta; Magnoliopsida; Malpighiales; Euphorbiaceae. The record is from RNAcentral.
GAACAAUUUUCAUGAAGAACACCUUAUCAAAUUAUGACUAAAACUAGGAUGAAAUUGGGUUCAAAAGUUAGGGCAUAAAACUGUCUAGAACUCAAACUCUUUGAAUUUGCAUAAGUAACUUAGGCAUUCAUUUGGUUAGUUAUUAGAGAUAAUUGGGAUAAGUAUUAAGACAUUUCUGUUGUGUAUUUUCAAUGGAAAAGAAGUCUCCUAAAGAGGGGAAGAGUUAAACUAAGUAAAAGGAGUAUAAAGAGGUUUGUACACAACUAAACCCUCCACUUUUAUUUUAAAUUGUAAAUGGAUUGAAUGUGUGCUUUAAUUUUGUAAAAUGAGUUUAUGAUUUUAGAAAGGCGAAUGUUGGCCAUUUUGUACCAUUGUAGUAAGGGGUGGGCCGGUUUUAAAUAUAUAUUUGAAGUAUUUGAGAAAUUUGUGUGUUGCCAACUUUUUUUGGGUUUUAUGAUGAAUUGAUUGUGAUUGUUUGAUUGGAAACUCUUUGAAAUUAUUCUUUAAUCAUAGUUAGCAUGACAGUUCCUUUUGGCAUUCCCUUUUAGUAAUGGCUAAUCGGGAUUUUACCAUUGAUUAUAUUACCUCCCUCAUUAAUAACGGUUAGUGA